Molecule: long non-coding RNA, 2097 nt
Filed under: Olea europaea (common olive)
Lineage: Eukaryota; Viridiplantae; Streptophyta; Magnoliopsida; Lamiales; Oleaceae
Description: long non-coding RNA (OEUR_LNC001690)
Source: RNAcentral
GAUAGUGGAAAGAAUUGAGGUAAAUAAACUAAAAGCAAGUAAAAUCAAGCAUUAUAUUAACGUACAUCGGGUAUUUUUCUUUACACCAACUCACAAUUGAUGCCAAUUCACAUAUCGGUAGGUAAAGGGAAGAUAAAGUCCCUCAAGAACAUUUUUAGUACAAAAUAUGGAUAGUUGUGCAUGAUAUAAUGGAAAGAAUUUUAACGUCUUUCUUUUUCAAUCCAUCAAAUAUUGUAUAGUCCAAUUUACCAAACAUGCCAGAAGAGAACACGAGGCGUAAAACUAAUCAUCUCCAUUCUAAUAACAUCCACCCUCCCCAUUGGCGUCCUCCUUAAUCUAGUAUACCUUUUUCUUAUUGAUUUCUUUGAUGUUUCACACUGCCACUGAUCCUAUGGGAGCCUGCCGUUGUCCAAGUACAUUUCUCAACGCUGUGUCGAUUUGGGUAAAUACGUCCUCCUUGGAAAGACUUCCAUCCACCUGCAACCACAGAAAAAGAAGGUUCUUUGGAGUGAUAGGGUGAGGAAGAUGCGAUUUAGCUCCAAGUACAAGGAAUUUCACAUUAAGAUAUCAACUUUCUAACAAACAGAGAACAUGGUCAAUGUUAGGCACUGCUUAAAUUAUAAUUUAAGCUGAUGAAACAUGCUUUUUAUCCAGAAACAACUUACUACUUAUUAUCUAUACAUUCUGCAAGAUCCAUGGCUUAUAAGUACUUAAAGGCCUCCCAAAAAUGUUAUUAAUUUACUUAGUGGUAGCAAUAAUAGGAUAGUUACACUGUUUACAGUAAAUGACUCGUUAAUCUGGUUCACGUUCUAUAAAACAUCCAUGACAACAGUCAGCGGAGUGCAAGGGGAAGAAUCUGCUGAAUACUUCACCCACAAAACCGAUCUUUAUUCCAAAAUAUCAACCGCGAAGGACCAUUAUUCACUUUCAAGAGAAGUUUUAACCUUUUUUUAACUGAGCUCACUGAGCUAGAUACAUGUGUGCCGCAAAAGGAAGAUGGAACUCAACUACCUCAAUGAGAACCCAAAUAUAAGAGGGGUGAAGUUUCAACUUCCUGAAAAUUCAACAUGUACGAGCGAAAAGGUUUUAAGCAGAUCUGUAAACAAGCGAGAUUUGACAUAGGGAAAUGGACGUGUGAUUGCAUUAGUAUUUCUGAACUAAAGAAUGCUACAAUUACAAGCACUACGACUUAGGCUGGAAACUAUGAUUUUGGUUCAUGAGUGAUAAAGAGUGGAGAAAAAGGGGAGCAAAGGAAGGAAGCUAAAGCAGAGAAAAUAUAGGGAAGAAACUAAGGCAGCAACUGACACAAUUAAUAUAUAAGAGAACCCAUAAUAAUAACUUAAAAUUUAAAAAAAAAAAAAACAUGCUAGACAGCACUAAUUAGAUGUUAUAAGUUAGGGAUGAUAUGUUUGGUACGUUGGUUGAUUGGUCUAAGAGGUUUAAGAAUGGCAAAUUUUAAGAGCUGUGUUUAAUUUAUGUAUCAGCUACCCAACAUGUCAUGAAAUGUAAACGCCUCGAAAAUAAGCCAGUGCAUAAUUUUGAAUCCGGCUGAUGUAUUGAAAAAUAAAAAACUAAAAAAUAAUAGAGUUAAAUUGUAAGUUAAAAAAUCAAGAAAUUAAAUUAGGGCUGUGUUAGCUCUAAUUCAAAUACGAAUCAGCCACCAGUGGUGGUAUAUGAUUCUACUGUGGGAAAUAGCAACUUCAAACCAGCCAGCAGUGUCCCAGUCGGACUUGGAACACCAAUGAGCCCAUCUGCGGAUCAACUCAGGGUGUGGAUCAGCACGAAUAGAGGUGACAGUCGGUCUAGGCAGUCGAUAUGCCUGUAAAAUGCCAUUGUCUCGAUAAAUCCAGUUAUAAAUGAUAGUGGAAAGAAUUGAGGUAAAUAAACUAAAAGCAAGUAUAAUCAAGCAUUAUAUUAACGUACAUCGGGUAUUUUUCUUUACACUAACUCACAAUUGAUGCCAAUCCACAUAUCGGUAGGUAAAGGGAAGAUAAAGUCCCUCAAGAACAUUUUUAGUACAAAAUAUGGAUAGUUGUGCAUGAUAUAAUGGAAAGAAUUUUAACGUCUUUUUCUUUUUCAAUCCAUCAAAUAUGGUAU